RNAcentral lists this ribosomal RNA (397 nucleotides) under uncultured bacterium. Its description in RNAcentral is "bacterial SSU rRNA". It matches the Rfam family "Bacterial small subunit ribosomal RNA", at positions 28 to 430 of the family's 1533-position model. The record is from RNAcentral.
GACGAACGCUGGCGGCGUGCUUAACACAUGCAAGUCGAGCGGUAAGGCCCUUCCGGGGGUACACGAGCGGCGAACGGGUGAGUAACACGUGGGUGACCUGCCCUCAGCUCUGGGAUAAGCCUGGGAAACCGGGUCUAAUACUGGAUAUGACUCCAUGACGCAUGUUGUGGGGUGGAAAGCCUUGUGCGGCUGAGGAUGGGCCCGCGGCCUAUCAGCUUGUUGGUGGGGUGAGGCCUACCAAGGCGACGACGGGUAGCCGGCCUGAGAGGGCGACCGGCCACACUGGGACUGAGACACGGCCCAGACUCCUACGGGAGGCAGCAGUGGGGAAUCUUGCGCAAUGGGCGAAAGCCUGACGCAGCGACGCCGCGUGAGGGAUGACGGCCUCGGUGUAACU